GAUGAACGCUGGCGGCGUGCCUAACACAUGCAAGUCGAGCGGUACUUCGGUACAGCGGCGGACGGGUGAGUAACGCGUGGGCAAUUUGCCCUUUGCUUUGGGAUAACAGUUAGAAAUGACUGAUAAUACCGAAUAUGCGCACACUGGGGCAUCCCAGAGGGCGAAAAGAUUUAUCGGCAAAGGAGAAGCCCGCGUCCGAUUAGAUAGUUGGCGGUGUAACGGACCACCAAGUCGACGAUCGGUAGCCGGCCUGAGAGGGUGAACGGCCACAUUGGGACUGAGACACGGCCCAAACUCCUACGGGAGGCAGCAGUGGGGAAUAUUGCACAAUGGAGGAAACUCUGAUGCAGCAACGCCGCGUGAAGGACGAAGGCUUUCGGGUCGUAAACUUUUUUAGCCAGGGACGAUAAUGACGGUACCUGGAGAAUAAGCCCCGGC
Molecule: ribosomal RNA, 438 nt
Filed under: uncultured Eubacteriales bacterium
Lineage: Bacteria; Bacillati; Bacillota; Clostridia; Eubacteriales
Description: bacterial SSU rRNA
Rfam family: Bacterial small subunit ribosomal RNA
Source: RNAcentral